AACGAACGCUGGCGGCAUGCCUAACACAUGCAAGUCGAACGAGACCUUCGGGUCUAGUGGCGCACGGGUGCGUAACGCGUGGGAACCUGCCCUUAGGUUCGGAAUAACUCCCCGAAAGGGGUGCUAAUACCGGAUAAUGUCUUCGGACCAAAGAUUUAUCGCCUUUGGAUGGGCCCGCGUUGGAUUAGCUAGUUGGUAGGGUAAAAGCCUACCAAGGCGACGAUCCAUAGCUGGUCUGAGAGGAUGAUCAGCCACACUGGGACUGGGACACGGCCCAGACUCCUACGGGAGGCAGCAGUGGGGGAUAUUGGACAAUGGGCGAAAGCCUGAUCCAGCAAUGCCGCGUGAGUGAUGAAGGCCUUAGGGUUGUAAAGCUCUUUUACCCGGGAUGAUAAUGACAGUACCGGGAGAAUAAGCUCCGGCUAACUCCGUG
This 433-nucleotide ribosomal RNA is filed under the name uncultured bacterium. RNAcentral's name for it is "partial 16S ribosomal RNA". It matches the Rfam family "Bacterial small subunit ribosomal RNA", at positions 29 to 507 of the family's 1533-position model. The record is from RNAcentral.